Molecule: ribosomal RNA, 406 nt
Filed under: uncultured bacterium
Lineage: Bacteria
Description: partial 16S ribosomal RNA
Rfam family: Bacterial small subunit ribosomal RNA
Source: RNAcentral
AUUGAACGCUGGCGGCAGGCCUAACACAUGCAAGUCGAGCGAGCGGCGGACGGGUGAGUAAUGUCUGGGAAACUGCCUGAUGGAGGGGGAUAACUACUGGAAAAGGUAUCUAAUACCGCAUACUAUCAGAUGUGCCUAUAUGGGAUUGGCUAGUAGGUGGGGUAAUGGCUCACCUAGGCGACGAUCCCUAGCUGGUCUGAGAGGAAGACCAGCCACACGGGAACUGAGACACGGCCCAGACGCCUACGGGAGGCAGCAGGGGGGAAUAUUGCACAAUGGGCGCAAGCCUGAUGCAGCCAUGCCGCGUGUGUGAAGAAGGCCUUCGGGUUGUAAAGCACUUUCAGCGAGGAGGCGUUACUCGCAGAAGAAGCACCGGCUAACUCCGUGCCAGCAGCCGCGGUAAUAC